UAGUCCACGCUGUAAACGAUGAUCACUGGUUGUGUGCGAUACAUAGUACGUGACUGAGCGAAAGCAUUAAGUGAUCCACCUGGGAGUACGUCGGCAACGAUGAAACUCAAAGGAAUUGACGGGGGCCCGCACAAGCGGUGGAACAUGUGGUUUAAUUCGAUGAUACGCGAGGAACCUUACCUGGGCUUAAAUGCAGCCGGAUCGUCCGUGAAAAUGGAUUUCUCUUCGGAGCCGGUUACAAGGUGCUGCAUGGCUGUCGUCAGCUCGUGCCGUGAGGUGUCGGGUUAAGUCCCAUAACGAGCGCAACCCCUAUUCUUAGUUGCCAGCGGUUCGGCCGGGGACUCUAAGAAGACUGCCACCGUAAGGUGUGAGGAAGGUGGGGAUGGACGUCAAGUCAGCACGGGGCCCUUACGUCCAGGGGCUACACACGUGUUACAAUGGCCGGUACAAAGGGGCA
RNAcentral lists this ribosomal RNA (457 nucleotides) under uncultured bacterium. RNAcentral describes it as "bacterial SSU rRNA". It matches the Rfam family "Bacterial small subunit ribosomal RNA", at positions 791 to 1249 of the family's 1533-position model. The record is from RNAcentral.